UUCCAGGACUAGGACACGCGGCUUUGAGACCCACAGCCUCAGUGCUAGACGCGAGAGAGCAGAGCACUGAGUUCAGAAAAAGAUGUAUACACCUCCAGAGUUGAAGGGGGAGUAAGCAGAAUGGGAAGAAGAUCUGUGUGAGGAACAGGUAAGCCAUGGGGGUGUCUGUCGGUGAAAUACUGAACUCACUGGAAGACUAAUCACUGGUUUCAAGGAUCUCCAGGGCUCUUGACUAGUAGCUACACACAAAUUGUUCUAAUGAGAGGAUCUGGAAACAGAAUGUGUUUAUGAAGUUACAAAGAAAGAAAUGAAAAUAAUUCAUGAUAUAAGAAUUUUUAUUUCUAAGAGAAAAUUUAUUUCUAAUAUUCUGGGAUAUAUAACACUUUUCUAGCUGUAGAUUUCUUAGUAGACUGUUUCUUCCAUCUAAUUUACAAUUUAACAAAUUGACUCAAUACUUUUUUUUUUUUUUUGACCACAGUUCUGUAAUUUCAGGUAACCUGACUUUUCUUGGACUCAGUUUCCUUGUUUUGCCAUAUGGUAUGCCCUAUGUAAAUGUAAAAUGUUAUCUUUAUUGUCUGGCAAAAAUAUAAAGAAGUGUUAAGUCCCUAGUAUGAUUUAUGGAAUUUUAAAAUAAAUAAUGGUUUUAAGUAUCUGAGGUAAGUUGUUCUGGGGAGGCAGAUAAAUCACUAGCCUAAUUUUCCAACAUCAUAGCCUUAUCUAUCAUAUUUUUAAGACUAAAAGAUUUUUAAGACUAAAAGAUUUUUAUUUGAAAUGGAUGGAGGAUGGGGGGAAAGAGAAAGAGAGAAAGAGAAAGAAAUCGAGAUCUUUCAUCUGCUGGUUUACUCCUAAAAUGCCUGCAAUAGCUGGGACUGGGCCAGGCUGAAACUUGGAGACUGGAGACUCAAUCUCCCUUGUGGUGUGUCUGGCACCUAAGUACUUGAGCCAUCACCUAGAAUCAGAAGCAGAACUAGAACUUGAACCAGGCACUCUGAUAUGGGAUGCAGGUGUUGCAAGUGGCAUCUUUAGCCACAAAUGGCAUCUUUAACCAAAAAACCUAUCUCCUGUAUUAUAAUUUUAAGAUUACGUUUACCCAUCCAAGUUCACAUAGGAAAAUAUGCAGUCAUGUUUGACACGAUAUCCUUCCAUUUCCUUUUCCUCGGUAAUUCUUGGCUAUUUUUGUUCUACUAUAAUGAAGCUUCAUCUUCCCUCAUCCCUAUCUUUGGUCCAUCAGAUUCUCACUGUCUGGCAUGAACAUUUUGUAGAUGAAUUUCUGGCUGCUGAAAUCUAGGCCUGUGAGCCAUGCUGGAUCCUGUUUAUAACUGGUAGACAUAUUUCCUUUGUGCACUUACUUCAUGUCAUUUCUUAGCUUGCAGUGCUGUGCUUCCUGUUUUUUUUUUUUUUUUUUUUUUUUUUUUUUUUUUCCCCCAUAUCACAGGUUUGGCUAGUCAGGCCCAGAGCAUUCUGCGUAGUGUUAUUUGAGACCAUUUUGCUCUUUCUGUCUGACAAGUCUGUCACCUGUGCCCCACAACAUGAUCUAAUUUAAUCAACCCAGAGUAUCUUGAAAUUGGUCCUUCCUACUGAUGACACUUGAGAUGCUUUUUAUUUUGAUGGUGCAUGAAUAAACUUCAACAAUGUGUAUAUUUAAUAGGAAGGAGAAAAAUAUGCAUGUUUCAGUAUAUAGUUUGAUCAGUUUCUAUUGCUUAGACUAUUAAAGAUUUAAAAAAUAUUAACUUCAAUGUUAAGUAAUAUGAUCAACUGAAAUACAUAAAAAGAAUGAUGGAACAUUCUGGGGGCAGAUUCUCUCUCCUGGUACCAAUUUCACUUCAGAAUUCUCCAUAGAGUCAACAGUGCCAAAUCUGGAAAGACAUAGGAGAAUAAAGACAGCAAAUAGGGGCUGGCAUUGUGGCGCAGCAGUUUAAGCUGCCGCCUGUGAUGCCAACAUCACAUAUGAAUGCUGGUUCAAGUCCUAGCUACUGUACGUCUGAUCCAGCUCCCUGGCAGUGUGCCUGGGAAAGCCGCAGAAGAUAGACCAAGUAACUGGGCCCUGCCACCCACGUGGGAGACUGAUGGAGUUCCUGGUUUCCGGCUCUAGCCUGGUAUACCUGGGUGUUGUACCAUUUGGCGAGUGAACCAACAGAUGAAGUAUCUCUUGGUGUCUCUAUCUCUCUGUCUCUCUCUCUCUCUGAUUCUGCCUUUUAAACAGCUAAAUCUUAAAGCAAACAAAAGCUGUUGGUUUUGAGCAACAGUGGUGAUACAUGAACACAAAAUUUCAUUGAAUGGUGAAUGUGGGAGUUGAGUGGCUAUCUGUGGGCUGUUGCUUCUUUGAAUGGUUAAGAGAGAGAUGCUGAAGAGACAACCUAGGGAGCAGUGGUACCCAGGCAAGCAGCAUCCUCCUGAAGACUGGACAAGUAUGCCUAAAGGAGAAACUCUGCUCACUGAGAAACACCAGGGUGGCAGACAUCUUUAGCUCUUCUGUCUUCUGAUGCUACCACCACUCCUUGCUUUUCUGUUGUUAUCAUGCAUGAUCUGGAUUCUCUGAGUGGAGGCCAGGGUCCAGACGCUAGCCUAGAUUAGGCAGGGUGUGCAAAUAGAUAUGGGAGGCAAAAAAAUGUACUGUGGGCAGUUGAAGCUUGUCUGAUGCCUUUCUUUAUACCGGAAAAACUAGUCCUAGAGUACUUUGAGGAAGAAAACCAAAGUGGCAAUUAAUGUUAUUUAUCCUCCUCCCACUCCAUAAAUAUAGGCUUUCCUCAGGGUUAAAUCAUCGGAUGUUUAUUAUUUUUCCCUUGUCCUUUUCCCCCAGGCUUCUCCUGAAUUCCCACGUCCCCUGUGCAUGUGCCUGGCGGUGUGUCAGUCCAGUGAUCUCACUGUCUUUGAGAUUUCCUUCCCUCUUCCCUUGGAAUUAAAUUCAUCAAUUCUGAAGCCAGUUUUUACCAACAGUUAGUGGUUUCUUAUAAAAUUAGGCAACCAGUGCUUUAGCUUGUUAUCAGACAAGAGAGGAAAUUCAACUGAAGGCAUGUCUGAGCAUAAACUGAUCUGGGCGUUGGAUGUCAAGUUCUUGUUUCAGCUCUGCUCUUCACAAGCUGGGUGUUGUGCAACUUGGUUUUGUCAUCAGUAAUGUGAAGGGGUGGAACCAGAACAAGCCAUAGUUCCCAGCAGCUUAAUGAGACUGAAGGAUGACUUUUGGUUCAUUUUAAGAGUAUAAUGUGUUACUUCCAUGGAUAUAUGGGCAGCAAGUGCAUCUGAUUUAAAAGUUCAUUUAAGAGAUACAUGAUUAGGUUUACUCCAACUACUUAACAGCAUUCUGGGUGUUGAGGGGGAAAAAGUAACUAGUGUUGCCAGUUCCUGGUUUGAAUGAAAAAUGGGCAUUAUUUUGAGAAGUUGGGACAAGAAAGAGGUAAUGAGGUUUGGCAGAUGAAGGUGGGUUGCUUAUCUACCAAAACAUAGACUUUGCACAUUAGUUAAUGAAUAAUAGUAUUUCGCAGUUUGGCUUCAAGAAAAUCUAAACAAAACCACUUGGACAUUUCAAGCUGAGAUUUGAAGAAAUCUGGCAACUUAUUCUCCCACGUCGGAGGAUUUUAUGUUUAUAUUUUGGCAUGUAAAGCUCCACCUCCUGCUCAAUGCUUUUCGUUUAGAAACUCACAAAAUUAUAAGUCUGACUGUUCCAUUUCCAGGCAGUGCUAGUAAACUUUCCAUGUUUUCAGAGUUUUCCACAGAUCUGAAUAGCACUUGGUCUGAUGGUAAACUGCAUUCAUGUGUGUGAUGGGAAGAGUUUGUAGCCUCUAUUUUUCUUCUCAGAGGAAGUGUAGCAUUUAACUUUAGGAUGCACACAGUGUAUUCUGCUUGUGCAUCUGGCCAUUUUGCUUGACAGGUUAGAAAUAUGCUGUGGAAUUUUCAAAUGUCACUAGGAGUUAUUUCUAAAUUUUGAAUCUUGAAAUGAGAUAUUUUAUGAAAAUCCUUUAUAUUCUGGAACUUAGAAUUUUGCAGAUCAUUUAUUGCAGACCUCUUUACCAUGAGGCUAUUCCAAUCUUGAUGCUCAGACUACACAUCAGUUCUUAAGCAACAUGACUCAGAAGGGUUUAUUUCAAGAAUAAGAAACAUUGUCUAACUUUCUGGCUGAAAAUAAGUAUCUUCUCUUUCUGUAUUGUGUCUUCCAUUUCCAAAAAUAAAUUUUAAUGAAUACUUGGGGAGCAAAAAGAACAAAGCUGGAGGCAUACCAUAUCUGACUUCAAAAUAUAUUACAAAGCUAUAGUAAUCAAAACAGCAUACUGACCAGAAAAUAAAUACAGACCAAUGGAACAGAACAGAGCCCAUUAAUAAAUCCAUGAACUUAUGGUCAGUUGAUUUUUGCGAAGAACCCACAAUACAUCAUGAACAGUUUCAUCAAUAAAUGGCAUCUGCGUUACUGUAUUUUUUUUUUUUUUAAGAUUGAUUGAUUUAUUUGAAAGAGUUACACAGUGAGGGAAGGAGAGGCAGAGAGAAAGAGAGAGGUCUUCCAUCUGCUGGUUCACUCCACAACUGACCUCAGUGGCUGGAGCUGCGCCCACCUGAAGACAGGAGCCAAGAGCUUCCUCCGGGUCUUCCCAUGUGGGUGCAAGGGCCCAAGGACUCAGGCCGUCUUCCACUACUUUCCCAGGCCAUAGCAGAGAGCUGGAUCCAAGUUGAGUAGCAAGUUCUCAAACCAUGCCCAUAUGGAAUGCGGGCACUUCAGGUGGUGUCUUUACCCACUAUGCCACAGCGCUGGCCCCAACAUUACUGUAUUUCUGCCUGCCAAAGAGGGUAGUUAGAUCCUUACCUUACAUUAUAUAAAAAAUUAACUAAAAAUGGAUUAAAGUUUAAAUGUAACAACUAUAAAAACUACUGGAAGAAAAUAUGGGUGGGUUGGUAUUGUGGUGCAGUGGGUUAAAGCCCUGGCCUGCAGUGCUAGCAUCCCAUAUGGGUGCUGGUUCGAGUCCUGGCUGGUCCACUUCCAAUCCAGCUCCUGCUAAUGUGCCUGGGAAAGCAGUGGAGGAUGGCUCAAAUGCUUGGGCCCCUGCACCCACAUGGGAGACCUGGAGGAAGCUCCUGGCUCCUGGCUUCGGAUUAGCUCAGCUCUAGCUGUUGUAGCCAUUUUGGGGGUGAACCAGCGGAUGGAAGACCUCUGUCUGUUUCUGCCUCUCUCUGCAACUCUUUCAAAUAAAUAAAAUAAUUUUUCUUAAAAAAGAAAAUAUGGGUGAAAAAGCUCUCUGCCAUUUAUCUGGGCAAUGAUUUUUUUUGGUUAUGAUCCUCAAAACACAAAUAAUAAAAUGAAAAAUAGAAAAUGAUAUAAUUAUUUUAAUUAAUAUUUAAUUAAAUAAGUAAUUUUAAAUAAAUUAAUGUAGAUUAAAUUAAAAUUUAAUUUAUAAGAAAAAUAGAAUAAUCCCUGGUAAAGAUAAGGAAAAAAGGGAACCUUUGUUUGCUGUCGAUAGACAAUACAAACUAGUAUAACUAUAAUGGAAAAAAAAGUGGAAGUGCUUCACAAAAACUAAAAAUGAAACUACCAUAUGAUCCAGCAGUGCCCCUACUGGGUAUACAGUCAAAAGAAAUGAAAUCAGGAGCCGGCACUAUGGCAUAGUGGGUAAAGCUGCCGCCUAUCGUGCCAGCAUCUCUUAUGGGCACCGGUUCAAGUCCUGGCUGCUCCUCUUCUGAUCCAGCUCUCUGCUGUGGCCUGGGAAAGCAGUGGAAUAUAGCCCAAGUCCUUGGGCCCCUGCACCCACAAGGGAGACUCACAAGAGGCUCCUGGCUCUGGCCGUUGUGGCUAUUUGGGGGAAUGAAUCAGCAGAUAGAAGAUUCAUUCUCAUUCUCAUUCUCAUUCUCAUUCUCAUUCUCAUUCUCAUUCUCAUUCUCUCUCUCUCUUCCUCUCUCUCUCUCUUCCUCCCUCUCUCCCUCCCUCUCUCUUUACUUCUGCCUCUCUGUAACUCUGACUUUCAAGUAAAAUAAAGAAAUCAGUAUGUCAGAGAGAUAGAACCAUUUCCAAUUUCAUUGUAGCAUUAUUCACAAUAGUCAAGAUAAAGAAUCAAACUCUUAUCACUGAAUUAAUGGAGAAAAUAUGGAAUACAUGCAUAAUGGAAAACUACUAAACCAUGAAAAAUAAUUAUAUCUUGCCAUUUAUGACAAUGUGGUUGAACCUGGAAGUUAUUAUAGUAAGUGAAGUAAG
This is a non-coding RNA of Oryctolagus cuniculus (rabbit), 6172 nucleotides long. The record is from RefSeq and is a predicted model, not a curated record. Lineage: Eukaryota; Metazoa; Chordata; Mammalia; Lagomorpha; Leporidae.